AGAAUGAGGAUGUGCGUUUCUAGCUGCUUUGCGCCCUCCUCCCCCAAAAAUCUGCUACCACAAUUCCAACCCGGCGGCACGCCCCCAAGACUCCUUUGUCGCCCCAGGGGCGGGACCUGAGCUGUCGAUUUCAGGAGCCCUUCGUGACUUCAAAAGUCCUGGGCACUGUUGCUCAUGAGUGCUGCACAACUGUCGCCCUCUAAAGCCACCUCCAUCCCUCACUGGGCUGGCCUCCUGAGCCUUCGGUGAGGAAACGGGGUUCCGAGUUGCCCGCCUGAGAGCUUAACAGUCUGACUAGAAAAGGGCUAAUUCGCUUUCUGUGCAAAUCUCUUGAGCUAAUUAUUUAAUCUGAAACAUGGACAGAAGGAAGCCCGGUGCCAGCCAGCCUUCCUGAAAGACCAAGCCCGCGCCAUCCGGCUUCCUCCAGUGGACGCCUGCAGGACCCAGGAAUGUUUUUCUUGAAGGCAUCCAGCAUCUCCAGUUAGCAGUACUGAUUUUUUUUCCCCCCAACAAAGGAACACUACAUCAACACUGUUGGCGGGGACCUGGACACAGAAGACUCCUGUUUCAAGAAAAUACAAUCAUCUCUCAAAGGCUGUAAUUUAUAUGCAUUUUAAAACUCUAGGCAUUGAAAACCACCCAAGUGUCCCAAAUAGAAGGGUAAUAUAUAAUCAAUCACUCAGUGUAAUAUUAUACAUCCUUUAAAAAUGUUAUUGGGAAAUGUUUUAUGAUCUGUAAGUCCAAGGAAUCCUCUCCCACCAUUUCUUUCCCCCCGCUGUUCCCCCAUACCCACACUUCUUUGUUCCAAUUGGCAUGUAAAUUUGGUUUUCCCGCCAAAUGAGUCAGUCAUGAUGGGAACCUCAACUGAUUUGAACAGAUGUGUGUCAAUGUUACUUGGAAAACUAGAUGUCAAUAACCAGGGUCACAGAAAAAGGCAGUGGUCACAACUCUGUAAAAAUGUAUGCAUGCACACAGACAAGAACUAAAGUGGAACCCCACACAGGAAAACAGUGGGCUGUACUCCAGUGCUGGGACAUUGAAUGACUGUAUGCUGCUUUUGAUUUCCGUUAAUAUGGGCAACUGUCCAAUUAAAAAAAAAACUCCUAA
This 1107-nucleotide long non-coding RNA is filed under the name Homo sapiens (human). Its description in RNAcentral is "HSALNT0408789". The record is from RNAcentral. Lineage: Eukaryota; Metazoa; Chordata; Mammalia; Primates; Hominidae.